This 336-nucleotide unclassified non-coding RNA is filed under the name soil metagenome. RNAcentral describes it as "partial contains 5.8S ribosomal RNA, internal transcribed spacer 2, and large subunit ribosomal RNA". The stretch from base 1 to 120 matches the Rfam family "5.8S ribosomal RNA", at positions 35 to 154 of the family's 154-position model. The record is from RNAcentral.
GAUGAAGAACGUAGCGAAAUGCGAUAAGUAGUGUGAAUUGCAGAAUUCAGUGAAUCAUCGAAUCUUUGAACGCACAUUGCGCCCCUUGGUAUUCCAUGGGGCAUGCCUGUACGAGCGUCAUUUGUACCUUCAAGCUUUGCUUGGUGUUGGGUGUUUGUCUCGCCUUUGCGUGUAGACUCGCCUUAAAAUAAUUGGCAGCCGGCGUAUUGAUUUCGGAGCGCAGUACAUCUCGCGCUUUGCACUCAUAACGACAGCGUCCAAAAGUACAUUUUACACUCUUGACCUCGGAUCAGGUAGGGAUACCCGCUGAACUUAAGCAUAUCAAUAAGAGGAGGA